GAACCCAGGAGAGAGAGAUAUGAUGAAUUGACUCUUUAAAUCUUGGUAACCCAGCUCAAUGAUUUGCACAAGGUUC
This 76-nucleotide small nucleolar RNA is filed under the name Oryza sativa (Asian cultivated rice). RNAcentral describes it as "box C/D snoRNA J47.1". The record is from RNAcentral. Lineage: Eukaryota; Viridiplantae; Streptophyta; Magnoliopsida; Poales; Poaceae.